CCGGACCUGACUGCUAUCGGAUUGGUACUAAGCCAUGCGAGUCAUUGUAGCAAUACAAGGCGGACGGCUCAGUAACACGUAGUCAACCUAACUCGUGGACGUGGAUAACCUCGGGAAACUGAGAAUAAACCACGAUAGAUCAUAGUGCCUGGAAUGGCUUAUGGUCCAAACAGUUUACUGCCAUGGGAUGGGACUGCGGCCUAUCAGCUUGUUGGUGAGGUAAUGGCCCACCAAGGCGAUUACAGGUACGGGCUCUGAGAGGAGAAGCCCGGAGAUGGGUACUGAGACACGGACCCAGGCCCUAUGGGGCGCAGCAGGCGAGAAACCUUAGCAAUGUGCGAAAGCACGACUGGGUCAGUCCGAGUGAUUCCUGAUAAAGGAGUCUUUUGCCUGUCCUAAAAGCACAGGUGAAUAAGGGGUGGGCAAGUCUGGUGUCAGCCGCCGCGGUAAUACCAGCACCUCGAGUGGUCAGGACGUUUAUUGGGCCUAAAGCAUCCGUAGCCGGCUCUGCAAGUCUUCGGUUAAAUCCACCUGCUCAACAGAUGGGCCGCUGGAGAUACUACAGAGCUAGGGAGUGGGAGAGGCAGACGGUAUUCAGUGGGUAGGGGUAAAAUCCUCUGAUCCAUUGAGGACCACCAGUGGCGAAGGCGGUCUGCCAGAACACGUUCGACGGUGAGGGAUGAAAGCUGGGGGAGCAAACCGGAUUAGAUACCCGGGUAGUCCAGCUGUAAACGAUGCAAACUCGGUGAUGCAUUGGCUUAUGGCCAAUGCAGUGCCGCAGGGAAGCCGUUAAGUUUGCCGCCUGGGAAGUACGGACGCAAGUCUGAAACUUAAAGGAAUUGGCGGGGGAGCACCACAAGGGUGAAGCCUGCGGUUCAAUUGGAUUCAACGCCGG
RNAcentral lists this ribosomal RNA (895 nucleotides) under uncultured archaeon. Its description in RNAcentral is "bacterial SSU rRNA". It matches the Rfam family "Archaeal small subunit ribosomal RNA", at positions 17 to 921 of the family's 1478-position model. The record is from RNAcentral.